RNAcentral lists this ribosomal RNA (691 nucleotides) under Bacillus sp. (in: firmicutes). RNAcentral describes it as "bacterial SSU rRNA". It matches the Rfam family "Bacterial small subunit ribosomal RNA", at positions 53 to 726 of the family's 1533-position model. The record is from RNAcentral. Lineage: Bacteria; Bacillati; Bacillota; Bacilli; Caryophanales; Bacillaceae.
ACAUCGCAAGUCGAGCGGACAGAAGGGAGCUUGCUCCCGGAUGUUAGCGGCGGACGGGUGAGUAACACGUGGGUAACCUGCCUGUAAGACUGGGAUAACUCCGGGAAACCGGAGCUAAUACCGGAUAGUUCCUUGAACCGCAUGGUUCAAGGAUGAAAGACGGUUUCGGCUGUCACUUACAGAUGGACCCGCGGCGCAUUAGCUAGUUGGUGGGGUAAUGGCUCACCAAGGCGACGAUGCGUAGCCGACCUGAGAGGGUGAUCGGCCACACUGGGACUGAGACACGGCCCAGACUCCUACGGGAGGCAGCAGUAGGGAAUCUUCCGCAAUGGACGAAAGUCUGACGGAGCAACGCCGCGUGAGUGAUGAAGGUUUUCGGAUCGUAAAGCUCUGUUGUUAGGGAAGAACAAGUGCGAGAGUAACUGCUCGCACCUUGACGGUACCUAACCAGAAAGCCACGGCUAACUACGUGCCAGCAGCCGCGGUAAUACGUAGGUGGCAAGCGUUGUCCGGAAUUAUUGGGCGUAAAGGGCUCGCAGGGGGUUUCUUAAGUCUGAUGUGAAAGCCCCCGGCUCAACCGGGGAGGGUCAUUGGAAACUGGAAAACUUGAGUGCAAAAAAGGAGAGGGGAAUUCCACGUGUAGCGGAGAAAUGCGUAUAGAUGUGGAGGAACACCAGUGUCGAAGGCCACU